This 515-nucleotide small RNA is filed under the name Pan troglodytes (chimpanzee). Its description in RNAcentral is "processed transcript". The record is from RNAcentral. Lineage: Eukaryota; Metazoa; Chordata; Mammalia; Primates; Hominidae.
CCGGCCCUGCCCUGCCCUGCCCUGCCCGGCCCUGCCCUGCACUGCCCGGCCCCGCACGGGCGGCGCGAUGUGAGGCGUCCGAGCCCAGAGCCUCCGCCUGGCAUCAGCUCCACGCAGCCCAGCGCCGGCACGCGCGAGGCCCCCCUUCUGCAGAGGCCGGGCUGGAGGAGAAGAUGGCGGCCAAGCAGCCCCCGCCUCUGAUGAAGAAGCACAGCCAGACGGACCUCGUGAGCCGCCUGAAGACCCGCAAGAUCCUCGGCGUGGGCGGGGAGGAUGACGACGGGGAGGUGCAUCGCUCCAAGAUCAGCCAGGUCUUAGGCAAUGAAAUCAAGUUUACCAUUCGGGAGCCUUUGGGGCUCAGGGUCUGGCAGUUCGUCUCUGCUGUGCUCUUCUCCGGCAUUGCCAUCAUGGCGCUUGCCUUCCCUGACCAGCAUCUCCCUGAUCAUGUGGAACGCUCUCUACACGGCUGAGAAGGUCAUCAUUCGAUGGACCCUGCUCACCGAAGCCUGCUAUUU